This 253-nucleotide ribosomal RNA is filed under the name uncultured bacterium. RNAcentral's name for it is "partial 16S ribosomal RNA". It matches the Rfam family "Bacterial small subunit ribosomal RNA", at positions 524 to 776 of the family's 1533-position model. The record is from RNAcentral.
UACGUAGGGUGCAAGCGUUGUCCGGAAUUAUUGGGCGUAAAGAGCUCGUAGGCGGUCUGUCACGUCGGCUGCGAAAACCCGAGGCUCAACCUCGGGCCUGCAGUCGAUACGGGCAGACUAGAGUUCGGUAGGGGAGACUGGAAUUCCUGGUGUAGCGGUGGAAUGCGCAGAUAUCAGGAAGAACACCGGUGGCGAAGGCGGGUCUCUGGGCCGUUACUGACGCUGAGGAGCGAAAGCGUGGGGAGCGAACAGG